GACUGCCGCUGCGCCCCCCACCCCCUUUCAUGUCUGCCGCGCCUCCCGCCAUUAUCUCCCGCAGCCGCGCGGCGUAAUUCGAUGCCAAUCAGGUUUGGGGCGCUGAGGCUGGCGGAUCAAAGCCGGGCCGCGGCGCUGGAGCAAGUGGAGUGGGGGAGCAGACUGUGCUCCCCCGGGUCGGGGCACCCACCGUGUGUCCCGCGCAAGCGCCGGGGUCAGGCGGGGCAGGCCGCGCCCAGUCUGCGAGGGGCUCAGAGACCCGCGUGGGACGGGGCGGCCAGUGCCCGGACCGAGCAGCCGGCAGGGCACCGGGCAGCUCUUGCGCGGGAGGUCGGGGAUGGUUUCCUGGAAGGCGAGGCCUUGAGGCGGGGCCUUGAAAGAUUUCGGAAGCAAAUGUGGAGCAAGCAGAGAAACCCUGGGCAGAAUUCUAUGCAGAGGGACCGGCUUGGGCAAAGGCCUGGGAGGCAGGAAGCAGCGGUGGUUAGGAGGAGAAGGGACCUCUUCUGGCUCGACUGCUGUGCCACCAUCCGUGCGCGUGGAGCAGCAGAGGGUCCUCGAGAGGGGAGGGACAGAAUCUCAGUUGGCCUUCUGAUGAUGUCCUCUGCCUGCUGGCAGCCCUGCUGUUUCCUCCUCUGGGAAAUGGGGGAGCUGAUAGCUGAUAAUCUCCACAAGAGAUUUGUGAGAUGGUGAACAUGAUAAAACAAGCGCUACUCUCAUUUAUUGAGCACUUAUUAUUUGCCAGGCCAGGCACCAGUCGUGUUUCAUCCCCACAAUGGCUCUACAAGGUUGGAACUCACUUUACAGAUGAGAAACAGAGGCACAGAGAGGCCUUUGGACUGAGAAGGCGCCAGCAAGCAAGGGUCCCCACCUCUGGACCUCUGUCCUCUAUCCUUCAACCCUCAGAUCUGAGCUCUGGUCAGGAAAGCUGCUCGCCGCUGGAGGGCUCUGCAGGGCCCGGCUGCAGGCCUGACCAGGUCCUUUUUGCCAUCUGUUGGCUACGUCUCCUGCCUACCUGAAGGAGGUUGUGGGAACAACAGCUUGAAUUACGGAAAGAAGUUUCCCCACUGAGUUAAUCUGCAGUGGCUGGAGGUGACCUUCUGGAGACGGCGAUUAAUCACGGGCCGUGGCGGGCGCCGCGCCACGCCGGGCCCUUUGGGGGAAUACUAAUUCCACUACAAGAUAAAUCAUAAUUUGACAAUAAUCAUC
Molecule: long non-coding RNA, 1206 nt
Organism: Manis javanica (Malayan pangolin)
Lineage: Eukaryota; Metazoa; Chordata; Mammalia; Pholidota; Manidae
Source: RefSeq, a predicted model, not a curated record